Molecule: ribosomal RNA, 250 nt
Filed under: uncultured bacterium
Lineage: Bacteria
Description: partial 16S ribosomal RNA
Rfam family: Bacterial small subunit ribosomal RNA
Source: RNAcentral
GGGAAAAAGAAAGUGAUGGUACCGAUAGAAGAAGCGACGGCUAAAUACGUGCCAGCAGCCGCGGUAAUACGUAUGUGCAAGCGUUAUCCGGACUUAUUGGGCGUAAAGCGCGUCUAGGCGGUUUGGUAAGUCUGAUGUGGAAAUGCGGGGCUCAACUCCGUAUUGCGUUGGAAACUGCCAGACUAGAGUACUGGAGAGGUGGGCGGAACUACAAGUGUAGAGGUGAAAUUCGUAGAUAUUUGUAGGAAUG